UCUGGUUUUCAAUGUGUAAAUUUGGUUAAUUUACGCCUGGAUAACCCGUA
RNAcentral lists this microRNA precursor (50 nucleotides) under Ciona intestinalis (vase tunicate). RNAcentral's name for it is "microRNA cin-mir-4113 precursor". Lineage: Eukaryota; Metazoa; Chordata; Ascidiacea; Phlebobranchia; Cionidae. The record is from miRBase by way of RNAcentral.